This 776-nucleotide ribosomal RNA is filed under the name uncultured Neocallimastigales. Its description in RNAcentral is "partial large subunit ribosomal RNA". It matches the Rfam family "Eukaryotic large subunit ribosomal RNA", at positions 23 to 621 of the family's 3401-position model. The record is from RNAcentral. Lineage: Eukaryota; Fungi; Neocallimastigomycota; Neocallimastigomycetes; Neocallimastigales.
AGAGAUGUGUGAUGACGCAUAUCAAUAAGCGGAGGAAAAGAAACUAACAAGGAUUCCCUUAGUAACGGCGAGCGAAGCGGGAAGAGCUCAAAUUUGAAAUCUUCAAGGUUCUACCUUGACGAAUUGUAGUUUAUAAGAAGUGUUUUCUGUUAGUGGAGUGGCAAAAGUUCUUUGGAAUAGGACAUCAUAGAGGGUGAGAAUCCCGUAUUUGGUCAUUCCUCCUAGCUUUGUGAUACACUUUCAACGAGUCGGAUUGUUUGGGAAUGCAGUCCAAAAUGGGUGGUAAAUUUCAUCUAAAGCUAAAUAUUGGCGAGAGACCGAUAGCGAACAAGUACCGUGAGGGAAAGAUGAAAAGAACUUUGAAAAGAGAGUUAAACAGUACGUGAAAUUGUCAAAAGGGAAGCGUUUGACACCAGUGUUGUUUUUCCGAAAAUCAAUUACGAAUGUUUUAUUUUUGAGGAGUUAUGACUUCAUCGGCUUGCUCCUUUCUUUAUGAAACUUUCUUAAUGCACUUUUCGGUUAACAAGUCAACAUCAAUUUCUUUUGUUGUAAAAGGGUAUGAGGAAGGUGGCUUUCUUUUCGGAGAAAGUGUUUAUAGCCUUGUGCCUCUGCAAUCGGAGAGAUUGAGGUCUGCAGCGUAGAUCCUUCGGGGUUAGAUACGUUUGUGCUAAGUUAUAGCUUUUCAUAGACAACUUGUUGACUAUGUUUAGUCUUGUAGCUUACUCGCUUACUGCUAUUUUACCUACGCUUAGGAUGUUGAACUCUAUCACACACAG